Molecule: ribosomal RNA, 440 nt
Filed under: uncultured bacterium
Lineage: Bacteria
Description: bacterial SSU rRNA
Rfam family: Bacterial small subunit ribosomal RNA
Source: RNAcentral
CCUACGGGGCGCAGCAGUGGGGAAUAUUGGACAAUGGGCGAAAGCCUGAUCCAGCAAUGCCGCGUGUGUGAAGAAGGUCUUCGGAUUGUAAAGCACUUUCGACGGGGACGAUGAUGACAGUACCCGUAGAAGAAGCCCCGGCUAACUUCGUGCCAGCAGCCGCGGUAAUACGAAGGGGGCUAGCGUUGCUCGGAAUGACUGGGCGUAAAGGGCGCGUAGGCGGAUAGAUAAGUCAGAGGUGAAAUCCCGGGGCUCAACCCCGGAAUUGCCUUUGAUACUGCUUAUCUUGAGUGCAGAAGAGGUAAGUAGAAUUCCGAGUGUAGAGGUGAAAUUCGUAGAUAUUCGGAGGAACACCAGUGGCGAAGGCGGCUUACUGGUCUGCAACUGACGCUGAGGCGCGAAAGCGUGGGGAGCAAACAGGAUUAGAUACCCUCGUAGUC